GAUGAACGCUGGCGGCGUGCCUAAUACAUGCAAGUCGAGCGAACAGACGAGGAGCUUGCUCCUCUGAUGUUAGCGGCGGACGGGUGAGUAACACGUGGAUAACCUACCUAUAAGACUGGGAUAACUUCGGGAAACCGGAGCUAAUACCGGAUAACAUGUUGAACCGCAUGGUUCAACAGUGAAAGACGGUCUUGCUGUCACUUAUAGAUGGAUCCGCGCCGCAUUAGCUAGUUGGUAAAGUAACGGCUUACCAAGGCAACGAUGCGUAGCCGACCUGAGAGGGUGAUCGGCCACACUGGAACUGAGACACGGUCCAGACUCCUACGGGAGGCAGCAGUAGGGAAUCUUCCGCAAUGGGCGAAAGCCUGACGGAGCAAUGCCGCGUGAGUGAAGAAGGUCUUCGGAUCGUAAAACUCUGUUAUUAGGGAAGAACAAAUGUGUAAGUAACUAUGCACGUCUUGACGGUACCUAAUCAGAAAGCCACGGCUAACUACGUG
This 497-nucleotide ribosomal RNA is filed under the name uncultured bacterium. RNAcentral describes it as "partial 16S ribosomal RNA". It matches the Rfam family "Bacterial small subunit ribosomal RNA", at positions 28 to 507 of the family's 1533-position model. The record is from RNAcentral.